Molecule: long non-coding RNA, 736 nt
Filed under: Physeter macrocephalus (sperm whale)
Lineage: Eukaryota; Metazoa; Chordata; Mammalia; Artiodactyla; Physeteridae
Description: Physeter catodon (sperm whale) lncRNA (ENSPCTG00005008043.1)
Source: RNAcentral
AAAUUUUGUCUCAGAUGCCAUAGCCUAGCCGGGGUGAGGUACCCAGGACAUCUUGAAAUAGCCCUUAAAGAAGCAACAGAGGAUGCGUUGAUGGCUUAGACCACUUUUCUUAACUCACGUCUUUAGUCCAAAGUUUGCAGAGGGCCAGCUGAACCUGGAAAACGCGCGGGUUGAGGGGUGGUCCCUGUCGGUGAGCGCGCCCACAGGGAUCGUGGAGGGUUGGACAGCCAGGGUUCGUUUUAGUGAGAGGGUGGGAAAGAAGGAAACGAGGAAAAGGCAAGUGGCAACAGCUCAAGUCAAAAUCAAAGAAUCAAAUCCUGUGCUUCAAAUUAAAUACGUCCAUGGUACAGAGCGUCUGCUUGAGAGGCUUACAUGGACGUAAGGACCACCGAAACGGAGAAGUUACAGCUGAUGACCCAGCCCCCAGUUUGACCCUGUAGAAUGCUUGCCCUGUGAAGCAAAGUUGAAUUCCUUUAAAAGAUUUGAUGGAGAACACCUGCUUUUCUUGGUCAUCUGCUAGAGAAAAAUCUGUUUCCUCUUGCCGUUGGAUUUGCAGCUCAUCAGAAGGGGCUGUCAGAUUUCUCCUUCUUCCCCCAACCAAGAUGUGGGAGAGUGACGCGUCUGCACGAAGAAAAGGACAACGUGGAGACCUGGGAAAGUGGGACCAUAGCACGCACUAUGGAUCGACAGAGAUUUGAGCUGGAAAACUAUUGGCCUAUAGCAAGGAUGCUAAAAG